CAACAUAGAAGGCCGAAGUUUCUUAUGAAGCACGGGGGACCCAAUCUUUGGGGUGAAGCCGCAAUUAGCGGCCGGGUGAUUACUCUUUGAUCCGAAUCCGACAGCUAACCUCGCAGGCCGCAAAAAGGAGAUGU
Molecule: small RNA, 134 nt
Filed under: Paenibacillus pectinilyticus
Lineage: Bacteria; Bacillati; Bacillota; Bacilli; Caryophanales; Paenibacillaceae
Description: c-di-AMP sequence
Rfam family: c-di-AMP riboswitch aptamer (ydaO/yuaA leader)
About the family: This family represents a conserved RNA structure found upstream of the ydaO and yuaA genes in Bacillus subtilis and related genes in other bacteria. The ydaO/yuaA element is thought to act as a genetic "off" switch for the ydaO and yuaA genes in its native state.
Source: Rfam by way of RNAcentral